Bubalus bubalis (water buffalo) is the source of this 583-nucleotide long non-coding RNA. RefSeq lists it as uncharacterized. The record is from RefSeq and is a predicted model, not a curated record. NCBI's taxonomy places the organism in Eukaryota, Metazoa, Chordata, Mammalia, Artiodactyla, Bovidae. The transcript is spliced from 3 exons.
UUAUCUCAGGAUCCUCAGAUGUGUGCACACGCAUCUCUUAGCCAAGAUGGAGUCUACUGAAAGGGCUUACAGGUAGAACAUUUCUUGGCAUCACUCCUCAUUUGACCUCCAAGGAGCCUUUCUGCACAUGUGUGGCCAGGGAGGUCUCCUGACUUUGAGAAUGAGAAAUAUGUGGUCUGGGCUGGGCCCAGCCUUUCUUAAUUGUCCUGCUAUUCCCAUCUUGGAGUUUCAGUCCACAAUGAAUGAAUCUCCAAUCACUUUACCCUGAGGAGGGCACAGCUACCUCCAUCUCACAGGAAUUUACAAUCUCUCAAGAAGGAAACAGAAAUACAAAUUAUUUAUUUUACUAGUGUGUAAAUUAUAAGAAGAUUCAUUAAAAAGUGGGGAAAAAGCAGUGGAAGAGAGUCAAAUGGAAUAUUGAUUCUUCAAGGAAGUGGCUCAUGUUCAAUUUUGCAGUGACCUGAAAUAAAUCACAGACAUAAAGUUAUUAAACUCAGUGAGUCAUGUGCUUGUGAAUGUAGUACAUCAUGAGAAACGCUGGACUGGAAGAAGCACAAGCUGGAAUCAAGAUUGCCAGGGAGAA